GAUGAAGAACGUAGCGAAAUGCGAUACUUGGUGUGAAUUGCAGAAUCCCGUGAACCAUCGAGUCUUUGAACGCAAGUUGCGCCUCAAGCCAUCAGGUUGAGGGCACGUCUGCCUGGGCGUCACAUAUCGUUGCCUGAUGCCAGUUUCCUCGUGAUGGGUGACUGUGCAGGGCGAAUGAUGGCUUCCCGUGAGCAUUGUUGCCUCAUGGUUGGUUGAAAAUUGAGUCCUUGGUAGGGAGCGCCGUGAUAGAUGGUGGUUGAGUGACGAACGAGACCCAAUCAUGUGAGACCCCUACCGAAUUUGGCCUUCAUGACCCACAUGCGUCUUUGGAACGCUCAUGACGAGACCUCAGGUCAGGCGGGGCUACCCGCUGAGUUUAAGCAUAUCAAUAAGCGGAGGA
RNAcentral lists this unclassified non-coding RNA (400 nucleotides) under soil metagenome. Its description in RNAcentral is "partial contains 5.8S ribosomal RNA, internal transcribed spacer 2, and large subunit ribosomal RNA". The stretch from base 1 to 122 matches the Rfam family "5.8S ribosomal RNA", at positions 35 to 154 of the family's 154-position model. The record is from RNAcentral.